AUCUAUGGCCAUAACCACCCGAAUGUGCCUGAUCUCAUCUGAUCUCAGAAGCUAAGCAGGGUCAGCCUGGUUAGUACUGGGAUGGGAGAAAUAAAUUCUGUCUCUGCUGAUU
Molecule: ribosomal RNA, 112 nt
Organism: Fukomys damarensis (Damara mole-rat)
Lineage: Eukaryota; Metazoa; Chordata; Mammalia; Rodentia; Bathyergidae
Source: Ensembl